UAAAAUGACUGUGGUGGGUAGGUUAUGGGUCCACUGUUUUGAGGUGUAUCAAUAUUCCUAGACCUAGAAAACAAAUAAUAAAGACAGUUGCUAAUUAAAGUCCACUGCUUCCUUUUCUAUCUGUGCCUCCAUACUCAGAAUUAGGAAGUUCUGGCUUUGAUGAUGAUUAAUACAAAAGAAAUUUAAAGUAGCCAUAGAUGUCCUUUAUAGCCAUCAUUUAAAUUUCUUCUUACAAUAAUAAAAAUAAACUGCUUCGCUGAGUGCAGCUGGAUAUGCCUGCAGAGGUCCAACCCUGAAAAGUUGGGGCAAAAAUAGACACAAUAUUCAAGCUUGAUACAGGUCUGAAUUUGGAUUGUAUUUGUAAUUAAAUAUUUGAUAUAUUAUAGGUUUCUCAAUAAAUGUAGUCAAAGAACUUGAAAUUGGUUAUAUGAAAGAUUUCUUGCUGUUGUGCAAUACACUGUGCUGUUGCACAAUACUUAGUAAAUCUGUUGUCAGACUAUAAACAAAUAAAAUCUUAUAACUCGGAAACGUAAAAUCUAAUAUUUAUAAUAAAAUGCUCCGCUGGGCACAGCUUGAUACGACCGCAGAGGUCGAACCCUGAACAGUUGGGGCAAGUAUGGACACAACAUUCAAGCUUGAUACAGCACUGAAUUUGGAUUGUGAUUAAAUAUUUGACACAGCAUAGGUUUCUGACACAGAAUGAAUGUGGUCUAAGAACUUAAAAAAUUUUAAUUUACCUAUUCAAAUCAUAUCAUUAUUAUUUGCUUUUAUAUAUAAAUCAGAAAUAACCAAUAUAAAAUGGAAAAUUUUAAAGAAAAAAAAAAGGAAAAAAAGGAAAAAUAAAAUGCUUCGCCGAGCGCAGCCUGAUACGACCGCAGAUGUCGAACCCUGAACAGUUGUGGCAAAUUUGGACACAAUAUUCAAGCUUGAUACUGUCUGAAUUUGGAUUGUGAUCAAAUUUUUGACAUAAUAUAGGUUUCUGACACAAAAUAAAUGUGGUCAAAGAUCUUAUAAAUCCAUUGCCCAAUACUGUGCAAUUGAAGAUUUCUUCUUGAUACUUUUCAAAAAUUCGAAAUUUUGAAAAAAAAAUAUGAAUCCCUUAAAAAAAUUCGGUAAAAAAUUCCCCAUCUCCCCUCAACUUUUUGCAGCCCCCCUUGGAGCAAUAACCCCAAAACUCAAUCCCAGCCUUUCCUUUGUAGUAUGGAACCUUGUAGUACAAUUUCACAGAGAUCCAUACACUUACCCACAAGUUAUUAUCUGGAAACUAGAAAAAUGCUUGUUUUUGGCCCUUUAUUCCUACAUAAUUGGGGCAAUUAACCCCAAACUCAAUCCCAGCCUUCCCUUUGUUAUAUGGAACCUUGUGGUACAAUGUCAGAGAGAUCCAUACACUUACACACUAGUUAUUGUCUUGAAACUAGAAAAAUGCUUGUUUUUGGCCCCUUUUUGGCCCUUAAUUCCUAAACUGUUGGCCCCAUAACCCCUAAAAUGAAUCCAAACCUUCAACUUGUGGUUUUAAACAUUGUGGUACAAUUUCAGAGCAAUAGAAAUACUUAUACACAAGUUAUUAUCCUGAAACUAGAAAAAUGCUUGUUUUGGGCCCCUUUUUGGGCCCCUAAUUCCUAAACGGUUGGGACCAUCAUCCCCAAAAUCAAUCCCAACCUUCCUUUUGUGGUAUUUAACCUUCUUAAAAAAUUUCAUAGAAAUCCAUAUUCUUAAACUAAAGUUAUUGUCUGGAAACCAAUGUGUCUACGGACGACGACACAGACGAUGACAAUAUCAUACCAUUAUACGAUCCCAAAAUAUUUUUGCAGUCGUAUAAAAA
This is a long non-coding RNA of Mytilus californianus (California mussel), 1822 nucleotides long. RefSeq lists it as uncharacterized. Lineage: Eukaryota; Metazoa; Mollusca; Bivalvia; Mytilida; Mytilidae. The record is from RefSeq and is a predicted model, not a curated record. The transcript has 2 exons.